RNAcentral lists this transfer RNA (76 nucleotides) under Verrucomicrobiota bacterium. RNAcentral's name for it is "Verrucomicrobia bacterium (gut metagenome) tRNA-Thr". It matches the Rfam family "tRNA". Rfam says of the family: Transfer RNA (tRNA) molecules are approximately 80 nucleotides in length. Their secondary structure includes four short double-helical elements and three loops (D, anti-codon, and T loops). Lineage: Bacteria; Pseudomonadati; Verrucomicrobiota. RNAcentral also lists the same sequence under 3 other names. The record is from RNAcentral.
GCCACUUUAGCUCAGUAGGUAGAGCACUUCCUUGGUAAGGAAGAGGUCGGCGGUUCGAUUCCGCUAGGUGGCUCCA